RNAcentral lists this ribosomal RNA (450 nucleotides) under uncultured Glomeromycotina. RNAcentral describes it as "SSU rRNA". It matches the Rfam family "Eukaryotic small subunit ribosomal RNA", at positions 569 to 1028 of the family's 1831-position model. Lineage: Eukaryota; Fungi; Glomeromycota. The record is from RNAcentral.
AGCAGCCGCGGUAAUUCCAGCUCCAAUAGCGUAUAUUAAAGUUGUUGCAGUUAAAAAGCUCGUAGUUGAAUUUCGGGGUUCUACCGUUGGUCGGGCUUUGUCUGUACUGGCGUGUAGAAUUUCUACCUUCUGGGGAACUAUCAUGUUAUUAAUUUAGCGUGGUAGGAAACCAGGACCUUUACCUUGAAAAAUUAGAGUGUUCAAAGCAGGCUUAUGUCUGAAUACAUUAGCAUGGAAUAAUAAAAUAGGACGGUGGUCCUGUUUUGUUGGUUUCUGAAUCACCGUAAUGAUUAAUAGGGAUAGUUGGGGGCAUUAGUAUUCAAUUGUCAGAGGUGAAAUUCUUGGAUUUAUUGAAGACUAACUACUGCGAAAGCAUUUGCCAAGGAUGUUUUCAUUAAUCAAGAACGAAAGUUAGGGGAUCGAAGACGAUCAGAUACCGUCGUAGUCUUA